This 559-nucleotide ribosomal RNA is filed under the name uncultured bacterium. RNAcentral's name for it is "bacterial SSU rRNA". It matches the Rfam family "Bacterial small subunit ribosomal RNA", at positions 338 to 916 of the family's 1533-position model. The record is from RNAcentral.
CCUACGGGAGGCAGCAGUGAGGAAUUUUCCGCAAUGGGCGAAAGCCUGACGGAGCAAUACCGCGUGAGGGAUGAAGGAUUUUGGUCUGUAAACCUCUUUUCUCAAGAAAGAAGUUCUGACGGUACUUGAGGAAUAAGCAUCGGCUAACUCCGUGCCAGCAGCCGCGGUAAUACGGGGGAUGCAAGCGUUAUCCGGAAUGAUUGGGCGUAAAGCGCCUGUAGGUUGUUUAUUAAGUCCGUUGUUAAAGCCUAGGGCUCAACCCUAGAAAAGCAAUGGAAACUAGUAGACUAGAGUAUGGCAGGGGUAGAGGGAAUUUCUAGUGUAGCGGUGAAAUGCGUAGAUAUUAGAAAGAACACCGGUGGCGAAAGCGCUCUACUGGACCAUUACUGACACUCAGAGGCGAAAGCUAGGGUAGCAAAAGGGAUUAGAUACCCCUGUAGUCCUAGCCGUAAACGAUGGAUACUAGAUGUUGUGCAUUAUGUACAGUAUCGUAGCUAACGCGUUAAGUAUCCCGCCUGGGGAGUACGCUCGCAAGGGUGAAACUUAAAGGAAUUGACGG